RNAcentral lists this signal recognition particle RNA (97 nucleotides) under Gammaproteobacteria bacterium. Its description in RNAcentral is "signal recognition particle sRNA small type". It matches the Rfam family "Bacterial small signal recognition particle RNA". Rfam says of the family: The signal recognition particle (SRP) is a universally conserved ribonucleoprotein involved in the co-translational targeting of proteins to membranes. The record is from RNAcentral. Lineage: Bacteria; Pseudomonadati; Pseudomonadota; Gammaproteobacteria.
CAUUGGUCACCUCGCGACGAUAACCUACGAACCCCGCCAGGCCCGGAAGGGAGCAACGGCAGUAGAUGACUCGGGCGCCGGGGAGCGGCUGGUGUGG